AGUAGCACACACCGCGGCAAUGCCAGCUGAUGGCUGGGAGGUGCGGAGACGCCUGUGCGGACGGGGACCUUACCCACCGACCCGGAACCGGUGGGCGAAAGACGCAGGAGUUUCUCGACCAAGGAAUGAUGAAGAUUGUUGACGGGAUCCCUGGCCUGGGAUGCAAAGAAAAAGCCGCCUGUUCUGCCUCAUAAUAUUGCCGGCCAGUUUCAGUCUUCAUUAGUGCAAGACAGCUAGUAGAGGAUGAUAACCUCUAGUGGAGGAUUGCCUGGACCUUGCCUGGUGUUACUACGUACGUCACUUGACUGUGUGUGACCAUUAACAGUUCGUACACAGGUUGAAGCGCAUUGUAAGCACAUCCAUUUCCGUCAGCGUACACACAGCACACUGGACAGCGGCAAGUAGAUGAUGAGAGCGGAUAACUGAAGAUAUCACUGCGAUCAGUUCAAACCCCUGUCACUCUGAGCUCUCCUGAUGAGACCUAACAAGGUGGAAACGCCUAGCUGUCUGGAGACUGAGUUCGACACACCUGUAGUGAUAGCACAUGCCAGCUGCUAUUCGGCCUUAUCUGGAGGU
Molecule: long non-coding RNA, 576 nt
Organism: Sycon ciliatum
Lineage: Eukaryota; Metazoa; Porifera; Calcarea; Leucosolenida; Sycettidae
Exons: 3
Source: RefSeq, a predicted model, not a curated record